This 208-nucleotide ribosomal RNA is filed under the name uncultured bacterium. RNAcentral's name for it is "partial 16S ribosomal RNA". It matches the Rfam family "Bacterial small subunit ribosomal RNA", at positions 568 to 774 of the family's 1533-position model. The record is from RNAcentral.
AGCGCAGGCGGUUUCUUAAGUCUGAUGUGAAAGCCUUCGGCUCAACUGAAGAAGUGCAUCGGAAACUGGGAAACUUGAGUGCAGAAGAGGACAGUGGAACUCCAUGUGUAGCGGUGAAAUGCGUAGAUAUAUGGAAGAACACCAGUGGCGAAGGCGGCUGUCUGGUCUGUAACUGACGCUGAGGACUCGAAAGCAUGGGUAGCAAACA